This 449-nucleotide ribosomal RNA is filed under the name uncultured bacterium. RNAcentral describes it as "partial 16S ribosomal RNA". It matches the Rfam family "Bacterial small subunit ribosomal RNA", at positions 29 to 523 of the family's 1533-position model. The record is from RNAcentral.
AACGAACGCUGGCGGCAUGCCUAACACAUGCAAGUCGAACGAGAUCUUCGGGUCUAGUGGCGCACGGGUGCGUAACGCGUGGGAAUCUGCCCUUUGGUUCGGAAUAACAGUUGGAAACGACUGCUAAUACCGGAUGAUGACGAAAGUCCAAAGAUUUAUCGCCAGAGGAUGAGCCCGCGUAGGAUUAGCUAGUUGGUGUGGUGAAGGCGCACCAAGGCGACGAUCCUUAGCUGGUCUGGGAGGAUGAUCAGCCACACUGGGACUGAGACACGGCCCGAACUCCUCGGGGAGGCAGCAGUGGGGAAUAUUGAACAAUGGGCGAAAGCCUGAUCCAGCAAUGCCGCGUGAGUGAUGAAGGCCUUAGGGUUGAAAAGCUCUUUUCCCCGGGAUGAUAAUGACAGUACCGGGAGAAUAAGCUCCGGCUACCUCCGUGCCAGCAGCCGCGGUAA